CGCGUAGGUGGCCAAUUAAGUCAAUGUGAAAUCCCGAGCUUAACUUGGGAAUUGCAUUCGAUACUGGUUGGCUAGAGUAUGGGAGAGGAUGGUAGAAUUCCAGGUGUAGCGGUGAAAUGCGUAGAGAUCUGGAGGAAUACCGAUGGCGAAGGCAGCCAUCUGGCCUAAUACUGACACUGAGGUGCGAAAAGCAUGGGGAGCAAACA
This 206-nucleotide ribosomal RNA is filed under the name uncultured Acinetobacter sp. Its description in RNAcentral is "partial 16S ribosomal RNA". It matches the Rfam family "Bacterial small subunit ribosomal RNA", at positions 568 to 774 of the family's 1533-position model. The record is from RNAcentral. Lineage: Bacteria; Pseudomonadati; Pseudomonadota; Gammaproteobacteria; Moraxellales; Moraxellaceae.